AGAAAAGACCACUCUGAGUUUUCUUGCAGGUGUCUCUCCAACUCUACAACUUUUCUUGUUUAAUUAAUCAACGCAUGGCUGCCACCAUCUCCACCGUUGGAGCUGUCAACAGGGCACCACUAGCCUUGAAUGGCUCUGGUGCUGGAUCCUCUGUCCCAACUUCGGCUUUCUUGGGCAGCAGCUUGAAGAAAGUGAGCUCAAGGUUGACAAACUCCAAGGUUUCAUCAGGAAGCUUCAAGGUUGUUGCAGAGUACGAUGAGCAGAAGCAGACUGACAAGGACAGAUGGGGAGGCCUUGUCUCUGACACAUCUGAUGACCAACAAGAUAUCACCAGAGGGAAGGGUUUGGUGGACUCUCUCUUCCAAGCCCCCAUGGGAACCGGAACCCACCACGCCGUUUUGAGUUCUUAUGAGUACAUUAGCGCUGGGCUUCGUCAAUACAACUUGGACAACAACAUGGAUGGUUUCUACAUUGCUCCUGCUUUCAUGGACAAGCUUGUUGUUCACAUCACCAAGAACUACAUGACCCUGCCAAACAUCAAGGUUCCUCUCAUCUUGGGUAUCUGGGGAGGCAAAGGUCAAGGAAAAUCCUUCCAGUGUGAGCUUGUCUUUGCCAAGAUGGGAAUCAAUCCAAUCAUGAUGAGUGCUGGAGAAUUGGAAAGUGGAAACGCUGGUGAACCCGCCAAGCUCAUCAGGCAAAGGUACCGUGAAGCAGCAGAUAUCAUUAAGAAGAAGGGAAAAAUGUGCUGCCUCUUUAUCAACGAUCUUGAUGCUGGAGCAGGUAGGCUUGGAGGAACAACCCAGUACACUGUGAACAACCAGAUGGUGAAUGCUACCCUUAUGAACAUUGCUGAUAACCCAACAAAUGUGCAACUUCCUGGCAUGUACAACAAGGAGGAGAAUCCCCGUGUCCCUAUCAUCGUCACUGGUAACGAUUUCUCUACAUUGUAUGCUCCUCUUAUCCGUGAUGGUCGUAUGGAGAAAUUCUACUGGGCACCUACCAGAGAAGAUAGAAUUGGUGUCUGCACUGGAAUUUUCAGAACUGAUAGUGUUGCUCUAGAAGACAUUGUCAAGCUUGUUGACGCCUUCCCGGGACAAUCCAUUGAUUUCUUCGGUGCUGUGAGGGCAAGAGUUUACGAUGAUGAAGUGAGGAAGUGGAUUUCAGGCGUAGGAGUGCAGACCAUUGGGAAGAAACUUGUGAACUCAAGAGAAGGACCCCCAAAAUUCGAACAGCCAAAGAUGACCCUGGACAAGCUCCUUGAGUACGGACAGAUGCUUGUCCAAGAGCAAGAGAAUGUUAAGAGAGUCCAAUUGGCUGACAAGUACUUGAAUGAGGCUGCUCUUGGUGACGCCAACCAGGAUUCCAUUGAUAGAGGAACUUUCCACGGUCAAGCUGCCCAGCAAGUACAUAUACCUGUUCCUGAAGGUUGCACUGAUCCGGUUGCUGCAAACUUUGACCCAACUGCUAGGAGUGAUGAUGGAAGCUGCCUUUAUUAGUUGUAAAUUUUUUAUUUGAAUUUUUUUUAUGUUGUCCUGUGGAAGAAUAAGCACUUUCCAACUGAUGUGGAAAUAAUUUCCUUUUCUUAAAUGGAUUGUUAUCCUCUAAUUUUGUGUGAUUAUUACAAUAUUCAAUCUUAAAAGAGUGCUUUGUUUCCUACCACCAACUUCAGUUAGUCUCUUGUUAUUACCACUUCUUUUUCUCCGAAAAAAAAAAAAAGAAAU
RNAcentral lists this unclassified non-coding RNA (1721 nucleotides) under Hevea brasiliensis (rubber tree). Lineage: Eukaryota; Viridiplantae; Streptophyta; Magnoliopsida; Malpighiales; Euphorbiaceae. The record is from RNAcentral.